GUGAAUUCUGUUUUGGUCUCCAGGAGGUCAGCUGUGACAAUUAUUGACCUUUUUGUUCAUAGUGCGUGCUGUCCUGAUGGCUCAGGAGCCCUCAGGCUUGCUGGGAGCAGCAGGAAGAAAGAAUGUGUUUAACUUGCAAGGUGCUUAGAAGGGCUGCAAAUAGCUCCUCACUGUCACACCAUGCAUGUCUUGCCUGGUGCUAUGGGAACUCCAUGGGAACCCUGGUGACCAUCGUCUGUGCCCAUGACAACAGCUUUUGGUGUCACUGCUGCAGGGUGACACAGAGCCUGGGGGCUGUGAUGGAGGUGGAGCUGAGCAGCCUGAGACUUCUGGAAAUCAAAGCUGGGAAAUGUCAAGGCAUUGCCUUGCUCCCUGUCCUCUUAUCUGCUUGGAUCUGAGCUGGGGCUGCGACUUCUUCUAGGGAGGUUCUCCAAACAACUGCCAGAUGGCAAUCACAUCCAGUUCCUCCAAUCAGGCUGAUUUUUGAAUCUCUGACAACAGGGUAAUAACUG
Molecule: long non-coding RNA, 512 nt
Filed under: Phasianus colchicus (ring-necked pheasant)
Lineage: Eukaryota; Metazoa; Chordata; Aves; Galliformes; Phasianidae
Description: lncRNA (ENSPCLG00000010709.1)
Source: RNAcentral